CGCAGCAGCAGGUCGGGAUCGCGGCCCUGCUGCGGCUGCGGCGGGCCCUCGGAGGUAGGUUCCCGGUUGAUCGUGCCGAGCGCCUGCGGC
RNAcentral lists this transfer RNA (90 nucleotides) under Nocardia brasiliensis. RNAcentral's name for it is "tRNA-Ser(gct)". The record is from RNAcentral. Lineage: Bacteria; Bacillati; Actinomycetota; Actinomycetes; Mycobacteriales; Nocardiaceae.